This 497-nucleotide ribosomal RNA is filed under the name uncultured bacterium. RNAcentral's name for it is "partial 16S ribosomal RNA". It matches the Rfam family "Bacterial small subunit ribosomal RNA", at positions 28 to 507 of the family's 1533-position model. The record is from RNAcentral.
GAUGAACGCUGGCGGCGUGCCUAAUACAUGCAAGUCGAGCGAACAGACGAGGAGCUUGCUCCUCUGACGUUAGCGGCGGACGGGUGAGUAACACGUGGAUAACCUACCUAUAAGACUGGGAUAACUUCGUGAAACCGGAGCUAAUACCGGAUAAUAUAUUGAACCGCAUGGUUCAAUAGUGAAAGACGUUUUUUCUGUCACUUAUAGAUUGAUCCGCGCCGCAUUAGCUAGUUGGUAAGGUAACGUCUUACCAAGGCAACGAUUCGUAGCCGACCUGAGAGGGUGAUAGGCAACACUGGAACUGAGAAACGGACCAGACGCCUACGGGAGGCAGCAGUAGGGAAUAUUCCGCAAUGGGCGAAAGCCUGACGGAGCAACGCCGCGUGAGUGAUGAAGGUCUUCGGAUCGUAAAACUCUGUUAUUAGGGAAGAACAAAUGUGUAAGUAACUAUGCACGUAUUGACGGUACCUAAUCAGAAAGCCACGGCUAACUACGUG